This 74-nucleotide transfer RNA is filed under the name Candelaria pacifica. Its description in RNAcentral is "tRNA-Asp". It matches the Rfam family "tRNA". Rfam says of the family: Transfer RNA (tRNA) molecules are approximately 80 nucleotides in length. Their secondary structure includes four short double-helical elements and three loops (D, anti-codon, and T loops). RNAcentral also lists the same sequence under 1 other name. The record is from RNAcentral. Lineage: Eukaryota; Fungi; Ascomycota; Candelariomycetes; Candelariales; Candelariaceae.
GAGAGCGUGGCUUAGUUGGUUAGAGCGUCGGCUUGUCACGCCGAAAAUCGCGGGUUCAAAUCCCGUCGUUCUCG